GACGAACGCUGGCGGCGUGCUUAACACAUGCAAGUCGAACGGUGAAGCCCUUCGGGGUGGAUCAGUGGCGAACGGGUGAGUAACACGUGAGCAACCUGCCCCUGGCUCUUGGACAACCACUGGAAACGGUGGCUAAUACCGGAUACGACCCGCCUCGGCAUCGAGUGUGGGUGGAAAGUUUUUCGGCUGGGGAUGGGCUCGCGGCCUAUCAGCUUGUUGGUGAGGUGAAGGCUCACCAAGGCGACGACGGGUAGCCGGCCUGAGAGGGCGACCGGCCACACUGGGACUGAGACACGGCCCAGACUCCUACGGGAGGCAGCAGUGGGGAAUAUUGCACAAUGGGCGAAAGCCUGAUGCAGCGACGCCGCGUGAGGGAUGACGGCCUUCGGGUUGUAAACCUCUUUCAGCUCCGAAGAAGCGAAAGUGACGGUAGGAGCAGAAGAAGCACCGGCUAACUACGUG
RNAcentral lists this ribosomal RNA (462 nucleotides) under uncultured bacterium. RNAcentral's name for it is "partial 16S ribosomal RNA". It matches the Rfam family "Bacterial small subunit ribosomal RNA", at positions 28 to 507 of the family's 1533-position model. The record is from RNAcentral.